GGCGCAAGGGUGCGUAACACGUGGGUAAUCUGCCUUGAAGCCCGGAAUAACUCCGAGAAAUCGGAGCUAAUACCGGAUGUGAUGUUUGGAUGGCAUCUUUUGAACAUCAAAGUUGGGGACCGUAAGGCCUGACACUUUAAGAUGAGCCCGCGGCCUAUCAGCUAGUUGGUGAGGUAAAAGCUCACCAAGGCUAAGACGGGUAGCUGGUCUGAGAGGACGACCAGCCACACUGGAACUGAGACACGGUCCAGACACCUACGGGUGGCAGCAGUCGAGAAUUUUUCACAAUGGGCGAAAGCCUGAUGGAGCGACGCCGCGUGGGGGAUGAAUGGCUUCGGCCCGUAAACCCCUGUCAUUUGCGAACAAACCUCGUUAUUUAAAAGAUGACGAGCUGAUUGUAGCGAAAGAGGAAGGGACGGCUAACUCUGUGCCAGCAGCCGCGGUAAUACAGAGGUCCCAAGCGUUGUUCGGAUUCACUGGGCGUAAAGGGUGCGUAGGCGGUCGGGUAAGUCUGAUGUGAAAUCUUCGAGCUCAACUCGGAAACUGCAUCGGAUACUAUCUG
RNAcentral lists this ribosomal RNA (562 nucleotides) under uncultured Verrucomicrobiota bacterium. RNAcentral describes it as "bacterial SSU rRNA". It matches the Rfam family "Bacterial small subunit ribosomal RNA", at positions 97 to 639 of the family's 1533-position model. The record is from RNAcentral. Lineage: Bacteria; Pseudomonadati; Verrucomicrobiota.